AUGCAAGUCGAGCGGAAACGAUGGUAGCUUGCUACCAGGCGUCGAGCGGCGGACGGGUGAGUAAUGCUUAGGAAUCUGCCUAGUAGUGGGGGAUAGCCCGGGGAAACUCGGAUUAAUACCGCAUACGCCCUACGGGGGAAAGCAGGGGAUCUUCGGACCUUGCGCUAUUAGAUGAGCCUAAGUCGGAUUAGCUUGUUGGCGGGGUAAUGGCCUACCAAGGCAACGAUCCGUAGCUGGUCUGAGAGGAUGAUCAGCCACAUCGGGACUGAGACACGGCCCGAACUCCUACGGGAGGCAGCAGUGGGGAAUAUUGGACAAUGGGCGCAAGCCUGAUCCAGCCAUGCCGCGUGUGUGAAGAAGGCUUUCGGGUUGUAAAGCACUUUCAGCGAGGAGGAAGGCCUUAAGAUUAAUACUCUUGAGGAUUGACGUCACUCGCAGAAGAAGCACCGGCUAACUCCGUGCCAGCAGCCGCGGUAAUACGGAGGGUGCAAGCGUUAAUCGGAAUUACUGGGCGUAAAGCGCGCGUAGGUGGUUAUGUAAGCGAGAUGUGAAAGCCCCGGGCUCAACCUGGGAACGGCACUUCGAACUGCAUGGCUAGAGUGUGGUAGAGGGUAGUGGAAUUUCCUGUGUAGCGGUGAAAUGCGUAGAUAUAGGAAGGAACACCAGUGGCGAAGGCGGCUACCUGGACCAACACUGACACUGAGGUGCGAAAGCGUGGGGAGCAAGCAGGAUUAGAUACCCUGGUAGUCCACGCCGUAAACGAUGUCAACUAGCCGUUGGGGAUCUUGAAUCCUUAGUGGCGCAGCUAACGCACUAAGUUGACCGCCUGGGGAGUACGGCCGCAAGGUUAAAACUCAAAUGAAUUGACGGGGGCCCGCACAAGCGGUGGAGCAUGUGGUUUAAUUCGACGCAACGCGAAGAACCUUACCUGGCCUUGACAUGCAGAGAACGUUCCAGAGA
RNAcentral lists this ribosomal RNA (960 nucleotides) under Marinobacter sp. enrichment culture clone BF64A_C38. RNAcentral's name for it is "bacterial SSU rRNA". It matches the Rfam family "Bacterial small subunit ribosomal RNA", at positions 55 to 1006 of the family's 1533-position model. Lineage: Bacteria; Pseudomonadati; Pseudomonadota; Gammaproteobacteria; Pseudomonadales; Marinobacteraceae. The record is from RNAcentral.